Molecule: transfer RNA, 72 nt
Filed under: Yinghuangia soli
Lineage: Bacteria; Bacillati; Actinomycetota; Actinomycetes; Kitasatosporales; Streptomycetaceae
Rfam family: tRNA
About the family: Transfer RNA (tRNA) molecules are approximately 80 nucleotides in length. Their secondary structure includes four short double-helical elements and three loops (D, anti-codon, and T loops).
Source: Rfam by way of RNAcentral
CGGCGUGUAGCUCAGUAGGAGAGCGCCGGGCUUGAGACCCGGAGGGCGCAGGGGCAGGACCUGCCACGUCGG